Molecule: non-coding RNA, 2112 nt
Organism: Camellia sinensis
Lineage: Eukaryota; Viridiplantae; Streptophyta; Magnoliopsida; Ericales; Theaceae
Source: RefSeq, a predicted model, not a curated record
ACAAAAAUCAAGCAUAAAAGGAUAUAUUUAAAAGAGAAUAGACCAUUUCAUAAUAGAUGCUAUUUUUUAAUAUAUUGGGACAUAAGGCUUAGUUUGGUUUGAUUUAUGCUUUAAAUUUACUGCUAUUGACAAAUGUGUGAAUGACUAGAUGAAUAUAAUCUUUUUUAUUGAAAUAAGUUUGCAUUUGUUAUCAUGCUUUUGCUAAGGCAGUCAACUGGUCAAUAAUUUUGAGAGGUUUCUUUCUUCUGUAAAUCUUACUCAUAAUUACUACCAAUUUUUCAUCAUGUACCUAUCAUAUCCAAUAACUAUUACAAUAAUUUUGUACCUUCAUCAAACUAUAAAUGGCUAAUCAGUUUACUCAAUCAUCAAACUAUUCAAAAAUUCAGAACACCACUCACACCACUUGUCCUAUAUAUAAACUAUACAAGUUGUUUAGUGUGAAUUAUUUGUCACACUCUUUGCAUUAACUGAUUCAAUAUUUUAAAACUCAACAACCCUUAUUUCAUAUUUUUUAUUCGUAAAUUACAAAUAGUGUGUAUAUAUAUGUAUGUAUAUAUGUGCUAUUUGUAAUCAACUUUUUGGAAGUUAAGUGGAAGAUAAUGGACUAGCAUUGCAAUUUAGGGAAGAUAAGAAAACUGUUGAAGCAUUUCAUUAACAUGUUGUGUGCAUGAGACUUGUUUGGACAAAUUAAGGGGGGCUAGCAAAAACAUGCCUUUGGACUUUGCAAUUAGUUUUAGAUAACACACAAAGUGAUAAAAAAAAUAAAAAAAAUGAAUAAUAAAUAACUAAAUACACGAGUUAUAAAUGUUUCAUAACACAAUAUUGAUGCACAUGCUCUUUCAUGCACGUUUUGAGUUUUGGUUUUGCUAAUGCUGUCAUUCUUGGUGUGAUGUUUGUUAACAUAGUAUGUUUCUCUCUUGUUUUCUAGUUUUUCAUUUGUUGAAUUGUGUUUUGUUGGUAUAACAAAACAACUAUCCAACACCUUUGAUUAUAAAAAAAAAAAAAAUUUAAUGAGUGGGAAGUCGUGUAUUUAUGUUGACAGAUUUGAUGAUGCAGUGGCAGCGGCUCAAAGAGCAGCACGGCUAGACUUAAGUAGCAAGGAAGUGAACAUGGUGGUUAGGAGGACACGGGCGGUGGCAAUGGCUCGGUCCAACGGUAACGAUUUGUUCAGGGGAUAAAGAUACUCAAAUGCUUGUGUUGCAUAUGGAGAGGGACUCGACCAUGACCCCUACAACUCGGUGUUGUUGUGCAACAGAGCCACUUGCAAGUCCAAACUUGGUCAAUUUGAGAAAGCAAUCAAGGACUGGACUGCUGCCCUUAAUGUGCGCCCAUCUUACAGGAAAGCUAGAUUAAGAAGAGUCAAUUGCUAUGCCAAGGUUAUGGCAAGCAAGACAAAGAUCUACAUUGUGCUCGAGUAUGUUGGCGAGGGUGAGCUUUUUGACAAAAUAGCCAAACUAGGAAGACUUAAAGAGGAUGAAUCUAGGAGAUAUUUUCAGCAGCUCAUCAAUCCUGUAGACUACUGCCACAGUAGGGGCAUGUACCAUAGAGACUUAAAGCCCGAGAAUCUGCUUCUAGACUCAUUUGGUGUUCUCAAGGUUUCAGACUUUGGAUUGAGUGCAUUUUCCCAGCAAGUGCAGGUAAGUAUUAUGUGAGUUUGCAACAAUUUCCUCAUCUAAGAGCAGAUUUUUAGCAGGUAGGUGUUAACAAAUUGAACGUUAAAUUUUUAAAAGUGGUUGCAGCACUGAGUCAAUUUUGCAGUCUAUUUGGUUUACUAAAAUCACCUAGUCCAGAAACUACCUUUCUGGCCAGGAGCAGUGCCCUGCUCUGAAAGGAAUUCCUCAGGAAUAAUGUGGCCAUUAGUUUUUCUUCUUUCCUUCAGUGGCUUGUUCACUUCUUGUUUCUAUUAAUUUGGAAAUGAACUUUUUUUUAUGAUUUGUGUCUUUCCUUUCCCUCUUUUUAUAUUAGUUUCCCCAAACCAAGGAGGCAGUUUAGUUUUAUUAGUUGACUUCUUCAUAAGAUUCUGUAUUAUGCAUCAUCUAGAUUUCGACACUUUGAAAACAUUCAGUGACCAUUUUUUAAGACUUGAUCUAAUCCACAUUGAGGUUAUAUGAU